GGGGUUACUGAUGCGCAUGCUCCAACAGGUCUUCUCGCGGGAGCCGGCUGCGUCCUCAAGACUGUCCUCGAGGGUACUCUGCGUGUGCCUCAGAAUACUGAGGUUGCCUCAAUAAAGUCUGAGACUACGUCUUGGUAAUUGACCCCUGGACUGAUAACCGCGGAAAGAGAAGGAAUGCUCAUAUAUGACCUGUGGUCUAAUCACACCAGGAGGGUAUUAAUUCCAUUUCACCCAUGAGGAAACCGAGGCUCAAGAAGCUGAAGUCAUCCACCCAAGUCCACAAGGCUAGAAGUGGAGAAGCUGGGAUUCAAACUCAAGUCCCACUUUAGCUUCUGAGAUGAGGAGUGAGUUAAAGAGUAACUAGAAAGAACGGAUACGACAAGUUUAUUCUGGGGUUUGGGCCCCUCCUCUGAUGAUACCAGAAUUUGGAGCCUGUUUCUGGACGUCUGCCCUGCGGCAGCUUGUCAGCCUUCAGCCCAGAAGUGCUCGGCAAACACCCACUAAACAGAUUCUACUAUUUGUGUUCCUUCCUCUACUUCCCACUUUCAUGUACUAUCAGGUCAGCUAGGAAGUCCUAUCAACCACAAACUGAUCCAUCCAACAAACAUUUGUCAAGGGUCUGUUGAGUACCAGACACUCUUCUAGGUGCUGGGUAAGCAAAGUGAACCAGACAGACACAGCCCUCCUCCCACAGAAGUUACAUCUUAGUGGAAGAGGAAAGACAGCUCACGAAUAAAUACCCCAUGACAGGCCCCGGUAGCCUCCAUUCUGCUGCCACACUCUUAACAGCUUUCGGAUGUUUUCCUCCUUCCACCCAGCCUGGCUGCCAGAUGCAUUUUAAAGUGCAAAUCAGGCCUCCUAUCUCCUGAUUAAAAUACCGUCUAGACGACUCAGGACUUAAAUCUUUAAAUGUCUUAUCGGGCGUCCCUGGCGCUUCAGGAUCGCCUCUGCUUACCUCUCCAGCUUCAUCUCCAGGGACCCCCGCGCUCUGCACACGGAGAUGUUUUCAACACAAGCCGCCUUUCUUCCACCCGGAAUGUUCUCUAACUGGAGAUCUCCAUUCACCAAACACCUGAGUGCCUCUAUGGCGGGCAGGUGCCAGGCUUUGGUCCGUUACCCUCCGGGACAGCCUCCUUUUAUCCCGCCCCGGCGCCUCCAGCUCCUAGGAGGCACAGCUUUUCUCACCCAGUCCUACAGUCCUUCAAGUGAGCAGGGACCGUGCCUCGUUCAUUCUUCUGCCAAAGGGCGGGCAUCCAAGUAUCGUUAGUGGGAUGAAUGGAAGAGUAACGACGGGCGUUCUAAAAAAGACGCUAAGAACUUCGGAAACGUCUGCACGUCUGGGUGGCGGUUCGGCGGGCACCCGAGUAAGGGAGAAGUCUCCACUCUAGGAGGAGACCUCGGUGACCCGGGGGACCCCAGGGAGACUAGAGGGGCAAAGCGCGGCUUUCGCAUUUGCGUCUGCGCAGUAGUCUCACUCCGCAGGGAGGCGGAGUCGAGAAGAGCCGGGGGCGGGAUGCGGGGACUCCGCUGGCCAAUUAACCGGCGUGGCUCCGUGAGAGGGGCGGGGCGAGCGCGACCGAGAGGUGG
Molecule: long non-coding RNA, 1587 nt
Organism: Phacochoerus africanus (Common warthog)
Lineage: Eukaryota; Metazoa; Chordata; Mammalia; Artiodactyla; Suidae
Exons: 3
Source: RefSeq, a predicted model, not a curated record